This 806-nucleotide ribosomal RNA is filed under the name uncultured bacterium. RNAcentral describes it as "bacterial SSU rRNA". It matches the Rfam family "Bacterial small subunit ribosomal RNA", at positions 8 to 796 of the family's 1533-position model. The record is from RNAcentral.
AGAGUUUGAUCCUGGCUCAGGAUGAACGCUGGCGGCGUGCCUAAUACAUGCAAGUCGAGCGAACGGACGAGAAGCUUGCUUCUCUGAUGUUAGCGGCGGACGGGUGAGUAACACGUGGAUAACCUACCUAUAAGACUGGGAUAACUUCGGGAAACCGGAGCUAAUACCGGAUAAUAUUUUAAACCGCAUGGUUCAAAAGUGAAAGACGGUCUUGCUGUCACUUAUAGAUGGAUCCGCGCUGCAUUAGCUAGUUGGUAAGGUAACGGCUUACCAAGGCAACGAUGCAUAGCCGACCUGAGAGGGUGAUCGGCCACACUGGAGCUGAGACACGGUCCAGACUCCUACGGGAGGCAGCAGUAGGGAAUCUUCCGCAAUGGGCGAAAGCCUGACGGAGCAACGCCGCGUGAGUGAUGAAGGUCUUCGGAUCGUAAAACUCUGUUAUUAGGGAAGAACAUAUGUGUAAGUAACUGUGCACAUCUUGACGGUACCUAAUCAGAAAGCCACGGCUAACUACGUGCCAGCAGCCGCGGUAAUACGUAGGUGGCAAGCGUUAUCCGGAAUUAUUGGGCGUAAAGCGCGCGUAGGCGGUUUUUUAAGUCUGAUGUGAAAGCCCACGGCUCAACCGUGGAGGGUCAUUGGAAACUGGAAAACUUGAGUGCAGAAGAGGAAAGUGGAAUUCCAUGUGUAGCGGUGAAAUGCGCAGAGAUAUGGAGGAACACCAGUGGCGAAGGCGACUUUCUGGUCUGUAACUGACGCUGAUGUGCGAAAGCGUGGGGAUCAAACAGGAUUAGAUACCCUGGUAGUCC